Molecule: ribosomal RNA, 468 nt
Filed under: uncultured bacterium
Lineage: Bacteria
Description: partial 16S ribosomal RNA
Rfam family: Bacterial small subunit ribosomal RNA
Source: RNAcentral
GACGAACGCUGGCGGCGUGCUUAACACAUGCAAGUCGAACGGAAAGGCCCUGCUUUUGUGGGGUGCUCGAGUGGCGAACGGGUGAGUAACACGUGAGUAACCUGCCCUUGACUUUGGGAUAACUUCAGGAAACUGGGGCUAAUACCGGAUAGGAGCUCCUGCUGCAUGGUGGGGGUUGGAAAGUUUCGGCGGUUGGGGAUGGACUCGCGGCUUAUCAGCUUGUUGGUGGGGUAGUGGCUUACCAAGGCUUUGACGAGUAGCCGGCCUGAGAGGGUGACCGGCCACAUUGGGACUGAGAUACGGCCCAGACUCCUACGGGAGGCAGCAGUGGCGAAUAUUGCACAAUGGGCGGAAGCCUGAUGCAGCAACGCCGCGUGCGGGAUGACGGCCUUCGGGUUGUAAACCGCUUUCGCCUGUGACGAAGCGUGAGUGACGGUAAUGGGUAAAGAAGCACCGGCUAACUACGUG